RNAcentral lists this ribosomal RNA (222 nucleotides) under Vibrio parahaemolyticus. Its description in RNAcentral is "partial 16S ribosomal RNA". It matches the Rfam family "Bacterial small subunit ribosomal RNA", at positions 1 to 220 of the family's 1533-position model. The record is from RNAcentral. Lineage: Bacteria; Pseudomonadati; Pseudomonadota; Gammaproteobacteria; Vibrionales; Vibrionaceae.
AAAUUGAAGAGUUUGAUCAUGGCUCAGAUUGAACGCUGGCGGCAGGCCUAACACAUGCAAGUCGAGCGGAAACGAGUUGUCUGAAUCUUCGGGGGACGAUAACGGCGUCGAGCGGCGGACGGGUGAGUAAUGCCUAGGAAAUUGCCCUGAUGUGGGGGAUAACCAUUGGAAACGAUGGCUAAUACCGCAUGAUGCCUACGGGCCAAAGAGGGGGACCUUCGG